AUUACCUCAGUAACGGCGAGUGAAGCGGUAACAGCUCAAAUUUGAAAUCUGGCCUCACGGUCCGAGUUGUAAUUUGUAGAGGAUGCUUCGAGCAUGGUCUGGCCUAAGUUCCUUGGAACAGGACGUCAUAGAGGGUGAGAAUCCCGUAUGCGGCCAGGUGCCUACGCUCAUGUGAAGCUCCUUCGACGAGUCGAGUUGUUUGGGAAUGCAGCUCAAAAUGGGUGGUAAAUUUCAUCUAAAGCUAAAUAUUGGCCAGAGACCGAUAGCGCACAAGUAGAGUGAUCGAAAGAUGAAAAGCACUUUGGAAAGAGAGUUAAACAGUACGUGAAAUUGUUGAAAGGGAAGCGCUUGCAACCAGACUUGCGCGCGGCCGAUCAUCCGGUGUUCUCACCGGUGCACUCGGCCGUGCUCAGGCCAGCAUCGGUUUUGGCGGCUGGAUAAAGGCCCUAGGAAUGUAGCUCCUCUCGGGGAGUGUUAUAGCCUAGGGUGCAAUGCAGCCUGCCGGGACCGAGGACCGCGCUUCGGCUAGGAUGCUGGCGUAAUGGUUGUAAGCGGCCCGUCUUGAAACACGGACCAAGGAGUCUAACAUCUAUGCGAGUGUUUGGGUGUCAAACCCAUACGCGUAAUGAAAGUGAACGGAGGUGAGAACCCUUAAGGGUGCAUCAUCGACCGAUCCUGAUGUCUUCGGAAGGAUUUGAGUAAGAGCAUAGCUGUUGGGACCCGAAAGAUGGUGAACUAUGCCUGAAUAGGGUGAAGCCAGAGGAAACUCUGGUGGAGGCUCGCAGCGGUUCUGACGUGCAAAUCGAUCGUCAAAUUUGGGUAUAGGGGCGAAAGACUAAU
This 840-nucleotide ribosomal RNA is filed under the name Pseudogymnoascus hyalinus. RNAcentral describes it as "eukaryotic LSU rRNA". It matches the Rfam family "Eukaryotic large subunit ribosomal RNA", at positions 74 to 935 of the family's 3401-position model. The record is from RNAcentral. Lineage: Eukaryota; Fungi; Ascomycota; Leotiomycetes; Thelebolales; Thelebolaceae.